RNAcentral lists this ribosomal RNA (497 nucleotides) under uncultured bacterium. Its description in RNAcentral is "partial 16S ribosomal RNA". It matches the Rfam family "Bacterial small subunit ribosomal RNA", at positions 28 to 507 of the family's 1533-position model. The record is from RNAcentral.
GAUGAACGCGGGAGGCGUGCCUAAUACAUGCAAGUCGAGCGAACGGACGAGAAGCUUGCUUCUCUGAUGUUAGCGGCGGACGGGUGAGUAACACGUGGAUAACCUACCUAUAAGACUGGGAUAACUUCGGGAAACCGGAGCUAAUACCGGAUAAUAUUUUGAACCGCAUGGUUCAAAAGUAAAAGACGGUCUUGCUGUCACUUAUAGAUGGAUCCGCGCUGCAUUAGCUAGUUGGUAAGGUAACGGCUUACCAAGGCAACGAUGCAUAGCCGACCUGAGAGGGUGAUCGGCCACACUGGAACUGAGACACGGUCCAGACUCCUACGGGAGGCAGCAGUAGGGAAUCUUCCGCAAUGGGCGAAAGCCUGACGGAGCAACGCCGCGUGAGUGAUGAAGGUCUUCUGAUCGUAAAACUCUGUUAUUAGGGAAGAACAUAUGUGUAAGUAACUGUGCACAUCUUGACGGUACCUAAUCAGAAAGCCACGGCUAACUACGUG